UGUCUGUUGUAUAGUACGCAAAGGGCCUGAAUAUCUAAGAAUGUUUUGCAGCUUCUAAUAUAUCCAUAACUUGUUCAUUAUGUACGGAGCUGCGCUCUCAUGCUAACGGACCUGCUUUCUCAUGCUCACGGAGCUGCGCUCUCAUGCUAACGGAGCUGCGCUCUCAGGCUGAUGGCGCUGCGCUCUCAGGCUGAUGGAGCUGCGCUCUCAUGCUAACUGAGCUGCGCUCUCUUGCUGAAGGAGUUCAGUUCUGUCCACAUAAAGAUGAUGAGAAACUUUUGACACUUCAUCAAGAGGACACAAUCUAAACAUGUGAGAUGAGUUUCACCGUUUCAAUCAAAGCUUCCUCCCUGAAUGAACCGAGAAAGGACGACUCAAAGACAACAACAACAUUCACAUCUGAUUUAGCCCCUGGUUAAAUUAAUAAAAGUCAGUCAUAUUUACAGACUUUAUUUACAGAGCUUUUAUUUUGAAGGCAUACAGAGGUGGAAUUAUUGUAGCUGUUUACUUUUUAUUUGUGUACUUUAAUUUGUGUAUUUGUGUAGCAAUUUGUGUAUUCUUGUGUGUAUUGUAGGUCUAGCUGUCAGCCAGCUGGUCCUGAGCUCUUGGACAGUUUGGGUUCGGUGUGUAAACGGAGACCUGGCUCGACGUUACGGCGUCUCUGACAGAAACCCUGCUGGGGAUUACUGGAAGAAGAUCCCCGGAAACGCCAACUGGUUUACAGUAACCCCUGAGGACGAGUUGUGGGCGGUGACUCUGAUUGGUGGAUUGUCCCGUCGCCUGACAAAGCUCCUCCCACAGACCCCCUGUAGGCCCGCCCCCUCGGGCCCCUCCCUCACAGCAGACGACGUUGAGGACGAAUGGGAGCUCAUCUGAGCUGUGACAUCACUUUGUCUGAUGUGGGUUUACCUGGAGGGACGCUGUGAUGUCAUAGUGACAUCAUUUUAUUAAUAAACUUCCCCUACUUAGGUGAGGUACAUACUUCCUGUUUGUACCUGGCUUCUUCCUGACACUAAUUGGGAUGGUGACAUCACUUCCUGUGAAUUAAAUUCUUUUGAGGAAUGUACUUAAACAAGAUGGCAAGAAACAAGAUUUCCACACAGGAAACCCAGGUGGCUGCUGGGAAGUGAAGUGAACUCAAACUGUGUUUUAUUUGUUCUAAUAGGAAGCACUUUAAUCUCUGAAGGGACACUGGGCUAACGAUAAACCGGUUCUGACUGGUUCUAAAGCUGCACUGACUUCCUCUGAUCUGGUUCAGUCCGGUUCUAACCCGAACUAACUUGAUCCUAAACUUUGACCUCUAAGCUCAAGUUCAGCCGGGAACCGGCCCGCUUUAGUUUGGUAGAUUGGCUGUAGCUGGUUGUUAGUAUUUCAGCGUCGCUUCUGUGUAGGUCUAACUGGUUUUAACAGGUUCUGAUUGGUUGUGACUGGUUGUAACUGGUUUUCACUGGUUCUGAUGGGUUGUAACCGGUUCUAACUGGUUCAGAUCAGCUCAAACAGGUUCUGAUUGGUCUUAAGCUGGCAAUUUUGAUAUAAUUGGGUUCAGUGUGGUUGUACUAUAUUUGGGGACGUCAAAGGGACGAUUAACUGCAAAGGGAAAUCUGAACAUUUAAACUAGUUCUAACCGGUUCUAACUGGUUCAAACCAGUUUGAAAUCUUCCAGAGUUCCCAGUUUUGUUGAGUCUGAUGAACCUGGUCUGGUUCUAAAUGAGGAAAUUAAAGGGACAUUUUGUUACAGAGGAUUAUUUUACAUUUAUUUUAAACCGGUUCAAACCAGUUCACAGUUUAGACUGGAUCCAGCUAGUUUGAACUCGUUCUGAGGUUUUUAUCUCGGUCUAGUUUAGUCUGAGACACUAAAGGGACAUUUUAGUCCAGAGUCACGUAUUUACUCAAAUCAAGUUUAGUCUGGUUCAGACCAGCUCAAACUGGAUCGUAUAAUCCCAGAGUCCAGUUCUGAAAGGAUUUAAAGGGAAGUUUCACUGCACAGAACCUUUUUCUGCAGUUUGUUCUGGUUUUACUGGAUCAGUGUAGGUUAUACUGAGUAAAACCAGUUCAAACUGGUUCUUGUGUGCUGGUUUGCUCAUCCUGCACUCUGCUUAAUGGGUCACAGAGCAGAAUCAGCUUCAAGCUAAAUAAAAAAGGAACAUUUCAAACUGUUUGACCAGAAUCUGGGAAUUUAACGAAGUAAGAAUCUUCUGGAGUUUAUUAUUUAUCAAGAGCAACAACCAAAUAUUCAAAUCUUUGAAAUACUUAUUUAAUACCUGUACACGAGUCGGUCGAGACCAGUAUAAACCAGUUUAAUCCACUGUAAAGCGGUUUAUACUGGUUUCCAGCAUUGACUCCGCCCCCCUGACAGGAACCAGAUCACACUGACCAGCCCACUGGGACUGAUCCAUUAAAAAAAACUGUAAAAAUGUAAAUUUGA
Labrus bergylta (ballan wrasse) is the source of this 2425-nucleotide non-coding RNA. Lineage: Eukaryota; Metazoa; Chordata; Actinopteri; Labriformes; Labridae. The record is from RefSeq and is a predicted model, not a curated record.